AAAAAGGGCGCUCGUCUUUGCACUUACUAAUAUGCAAAAGAUCACAGAACAUUGUUCUGUGUGCGGACGCAUUGCAGCAUUGCCGUUCAAUUGAUUGGACUAGGCAUAGCUUUUUUGCUUUGUCUCUGUAGUUCAUGUGAAUGGUUGAAUGCUUCAGUGGGGUAUGGCUUUGCAUAUCCAGUGCGUAAUUUUUGUAAAGAUGAGAAUGGGGGCUGCCGUAUCAAAGUGGAUUGCAGUCGAUCCAGAUGUGAUUGAUUAGCGUGCCAUUUUG
Musca domestica (house fly) is the source of this 271-nucleotide small nuclear RNA. RefSeq annotates it as U11 spliceosomal RNA. The record is from RefSeq and is a predicted model, not a curated record. The transcript has a single exon. Lineage: Eukaryota; Metazoa; Arthropoda; Insecta; Diptera; Muscidae.